Molecule: small nucleolar RNA, 126 nt
Organism: Phodopus roborovskii (desert hamster)
Lineage: Eukaryota; Metazoa; Chordata; Mammalia; Rodentia; Cricetidae
Product: small nucleolar RNA SNORA40
Exons: 1
Source: RefSeq, a predicted model, not a curated record
AGGAUUUGUGUGUGGUUUUAUUCAACAGAAACAAAGGCAGGGAAGACACAUGCAAAACUAUGUCCUCUUUUGCAACCCGUAACUCAUUGUUCAAUACAAAUUUUGAUAUAAACAAGAAGAAAUGUG